CCCAGGCCGUUGGCCCGGGCUAUGGUAGAGCGCCCCUUCGGGGCU
Molecule: small RNA, 45 nt
Filed under: Acidobacteriia bacterium SbA2
Lineage: Bacteria; Pseudomonadati; Acidobacteriota; Terriglobia
Description: Solibacteres bacterium SbA2 Acido-Lenti-1
Rfam family: Acido-Lenti-1 RNA
Source: RNAcentral